Molecule: long non-coding RNA, 421 nt
Filed under: Mytilus galloprovincialis (Mediterranean mussel)
Lineage: Eukaryota; Metazoa; Mollusca; Bivalvia; Mytilida; Mytilidae
Source: RNAcentral
GCAAAUCUGACAUGGGGGUAAAAUUGUUUAUCAGGUCAAGAUCUAUAUGCCCUGAAAUUUUCAGAUGAAUCGGACAACCCGUUGUUGGGUUGCUGCCCCUGAAUUGGUAAUUUUAGGAAAAUUUUGCUGUUUUUGGUUAUUAUCUUGAAUAUUAUUAUAGAUAGAGAUAAACUGUAAACUGAAAUAAUGUACAGCAAAGUAAGACCUAAAAAUAAGUCAACAUGACCAAAAUGGUCAGUUGACCCCUAAGGAGUUAUUGUCCUUUAUAGUAAAUUUUUAACAAUUUUCAUAGAAUUUGUAAAUUUUUACUAUCAUUUUCCACUGAAACUACUGGGCAAAGUUCAUUAUAGAUAGAAAUAAUUGUUAGCAGCAAGAAUGUUUAGUAAAGUAAGAUGUACAAACACAUCACCAUCACCAAAAC